AUCCACCGGUCGAACCAAGGAUUCUCACUGAGGAAGAUCCAUUAACCUUUCCCUGGGGCGAUGGCUGGCUGUGGCUGGAAGGUGGACGGUUUCUCUGCGAUACCAGUGUCUCCUGAAGAGUGUUCGUCGCCUUGCCAGAUAAGCAGCUAAAGUAACAACGAUCUGUAACAACCAACGCGCCUGAUCUGCUUUUCUGUUCUAAGAAUGAUGAUGUUCUAAGAAUGACAGGAAGAUGUGAAACAUUACAACCAGUCAAUGAACACGAAGCAUUCAUUACUAAGUACGUAGCCAAUGUUUGUUUGUCAGUUUGCACUCAUCCACACGAAGAAUUUUUUUUUUUGUAAGUAGCCAUGGUUUCCUAAUAUUAGUCUCCCAGUCAUCCUUGAAAAGAAAACGAAUCAGGUCUGAAAAGAAAACUAUCUCAAUGGUAAACUUAAGAAUUUCUUUUCUAAUCAUACGCGAUUGCUGUUACUGUACGUUGCCUUCCCCUGUCAUUUGACAGGACUUUGUCCUGUAAAGAAAAAAAAAAAAAAACGCAUAAGGAUGGUGUCAGGCACUGUCCUCCUCCGCCCACAAAUACAAGGCAGAGAGGCUUGUCGCCGUCUUCACGGAGCGAGGGUCCAGUGACGAGCUUCAUAUUAUUAGCAGAAAAUGCGAGAAUCUGGGACUUGACAUUUCGGCCGGGACAGAAGAGGGCGCGAGGACCACAGAUCCACCUUGCUGCAGACAUGCAGCACACCCAUCCAUCAGGUUGCCACUGUAGGGCUGCACAAUGACUCCAGGUCUUCUAGCAGCUGCAGUAUCACUGCCUAACUGACCACGCCACAAUUUUUCACCGCAGCUGCAGCUGUGACGACUGUGACAAAUCCAGUGUUUAUUUUUUAUUGUAAAUAGUUUUUUUUCUUCAUGCACUGCUGCUUACCGUGAUACUACCGUGUCAAUCAUUUAUUGUUCUGUUUAAAAUUGUGCGUCAAAAAUUGUAUAUGUAAUACAAGUAAAUUUUUACUAAUUCA
This is a long non-coding RNA of Portunus trituberculatus (swimming crab), 1013 nucleotides long. RefSeq lists it as uncharacterized. NCBI's taxonomy places the organism in Eukaryota, Metazoa, Arthropoda, Malacostraca, Decapoda, Portunidae. The record is from RefSeq and is a predicted model, not a curated record. The transcript has 2 exons.